RNAcentral lists this long non-coding RNA (1461 nucleotides) under Homo sapiens (human). RNAcentral describes it as "ATP1A1 antisense RNA 1". Lineage: Eukaryota; Metazoa; Chordata; Mammalia; Primates; Hominidae. The record is from RNAcentral.
AGGUUGAGCUUCCCAGAAGCUGACCCAGAGAUGGAAACUUCCAUGAGGGACAUUUAUUAGGAAUACUCUUGGGAUUAACACCUUUGGAAUAGAAGGAAAAUGAGAAACAAUUUGUGCAGAGAGAUAAGUUAGGCUGCAAAGCAGUCUCAACAAAGUCCCUGCAGAACUCUGAGGCUCCCUACCCAUAGGGAGACAGUCUGCCUGCUGGUCACCUCCUACUCAUCACUGGGAAUCACAGACAGAACAAGUGGUGGCAACACCGGCCUGAAGAUUCUGGACAACGGAGGCCGCGCCGGGUUUGGAGGCAUCCCACAGCCUCAGGCCGAGGACCCGCCGCGAAGCGCCGCCUCCGCGGGUUGACCCUCUGCAGCCGCCGUAGCGCAGAGACGAAUCCGCGCUCCCCCAGGCUGUCGCGCGAGCUCCCCGGAAGCUCCCACCUGAGCGGCGCAUCCUCAGGGCCUGGGCCUGGCCUCCUUGCCUGUGAGAUGGCACUGUGACGGUGCCCACCUCGUGGGGUGUGUGAGGGCCGAGUGAAAUCGUGCAUUUGCGGUCUGAAAUGCAGAAGACAGAAGAUGAGCUCUGGCUCUUCACCUGCAUGGCUGGUGGCAGUGUGGCCUCAGUCUUCUGGGGCUUGAGGAGCUCUGACACUGGUCAGGUCAGAGGUGCCCACUCACCCACUGCUGCCCGUAGCUGUCUUCCACAUCGUUGAUCCAGCGGUCAUCCCAGUCCACUCGGAGGCCCAACAGGUGAAUUGGGAGGAAGCCGUUCUCAGCCAGAAUCACAAAGUAAGUAAAGAAGCCUCCCAGGGCCUGGAUCAUUCCUAAGUUGGGAAAACAACCCAAUUACUAGAACCUCACACACAAGGGUACCUGUAUAGCCUUCAGCUGAUUACUGCAGCAGGCCUGGGAGAGCACAUAUGGAGGAGUGUUUCCCCCUGGUUGAUAAAAGCACAGGAAAGAAUUGCCUGGUCACUCACAGGCUAUGAGGGAUGGGAUGGAGGACCCCAGGCAUACACUCCAAUCUCAGGGCCCUCUGCUUUUUGAGUCACUUUUUGGAGCCUACACAAAGACACAUGUGCCUUGCUCUCAAAAUGCCCACCUGUUACUUGACCAGCUGCUUCUAAGGGUAUGACCUUUAGGGGAAAUCCACUUCCCUACUUUUUAAUCUCUGACAAAUGAUAACUUCUUUUCCAUCUUUCAAAAUUCCUACAUGCUGCCAUUUUUCUAGCCACUGUGGCACUUUCUGACUCUCCUCCCCACCUUCAGGACCCUCCUCCCCCUGGCAUCCAAUUUAACCACGCUGCUCCAAGUUCCUCAGGGCAGGGUUUCAUCCUAAACCACCAGAGACCUAGUCUUCCUUCCUCUCAAAAGCAGGCCUCCUUGGAGAAGGUCAGGAUGGGCCACCAGCCAAUUACUUUGUUGCCAACAACUGUCUAAUGAAUCUUUGCCAUAAUUUCCACAA